AACGAACGCUGGCGGCGUGCUUAACACAUGCAAGUCGAACGCGAAAGGGACUUCGGGUCCUGAGUAAAGUGGCGCACGGGUGAGUAACGCGUAGAUAACCUGUCUUCAUGUCUGGAAUAAUACGCCGAAAGGGGUACUAAUACCGGAUAUUCUUGCUUUUCAUAAGUUAUGCAAGCAAAGGUGGCCUCUGCAUAUGCUACUGCAUGAAGAGGGGUCUGCGUACCAUUAGCUAGUAGGUGGGGUAAUGGCCUACCUAGGCGACGAUGGUUAGCGGGUCUGAGAGGAUGAUCCGCCACACUGGCACUGGAACACGGGCCAGACUCCUACGGGAGGCAGCAGUGAGGAAUAUUGCGCAAUGGGGGAAACCCUGACGCAGCGACGCCGCGUGAGUGAGGAAAGGCCUUCGGGUCGUAAAGCUCUGUCAAGAGGAAAGAAGUGUACAAUGGCUAAUACCUGUUGUAUUUGACGGUACCUCUAAAGGAAGCACCGGCUAACUCCGUGCCAGCAGCAGC
RNAcentral lists this ribosomal RNA (512 nucleotides) under uncultured bacterium. Its description in RNAcentral is "bacterial SSU rRNA". It matches the Rfam family "Bacterial small subunit ribosomal RNA", at positions 29 to 518 of the family's 1533-position model. The record is from RNAcentral.